Molecule: ribosomal RNA, 251 nt
Filed under: uncultured prokaryote
Description: partial 16S ribosomal RNA
Rfam family: Bacterial small subunit ribosomal RNA
Source: RNAcentral
UACGGAGGAUGCGAGCGUUAUCCGGAUUUAUUGGGUUUAAAGGGUGCGUAGGCGGCUUUUUAAGUCAGCGGUGAGAUUUUGCAGCUUAACUGUAACAGUGCCGUUGAUACUGGGGAGCUAGGAUUUGGUUGCUGUGGGUGGAAUGUGUGGUGUAGCGGUGAAAUGCUUAGAGAUCACACAGAAUAUCGAUUGCGAAGGCAGCUCACAAAGCCAAGAUUGACGCUGAGGCACGAAAGUGUGGGGAUCAAACA